GAUCCUGGCUCAGGAUGAACGCUAGCUACAGGCUUAACACAUGCAAGUCGAGGGGCAUCAGGGUGUAGCAAUACGCCGCCGGCGACCGGCGCACGGGUGAGUAACACGUAUCCAACCUGCCCUUUACUCGGGGAUAGCCUUUCGAAAGAAAGAUUAAUACCCGAUGGUAUAACAUGACCUCCUGGUUUUGUUAUUAAAGAAUUUCGGUAGAGGAUGGGGAUGCGUUCCAUUAGGCAGUUGGCGGGGUAACGGCCCACC
This 258-nucleotide ribosomal RNA is filed under the name uncultured bacterium. Its description in RNAcentral is "partial 16S ribosomal RNA". It matches the Rfam family "Bacterial small subunit ribosomal RNA", at positions 15 to 269 of the family's 1533-position model. The record is from RNAcentral.